This is a small nuclear RNA of Ailuropoda melanoleuca (giant panda), 107 nucleotides long. The record is from Ensembl. Lineage: Eukaryota; Metazoa; Chordata; Mammalia; Carnivora; Ursidae.
GUGCCUGCUUAAGCAGCACAUAUACUAAAAUUGGAAUGACACAGAGAAGAUUAGCAUGGCCCCAGCGCGAGGAUGACACAUAAAUUCAUGAAGCGUACCAUAUAAAA